AAGCGGGCACGGAGCGGCCGCUCCUUCCCCGGGCACCGCGGGUCGGGCCGGACCCCCCCGAGUCACACAUCCUUCCCCUCCCAGCCCCCCUCAGCUCCGGCACAAUGUAUUUUUAUUCCUUCGGAAUAAACCGACGGCUUUGUCGGAGCACAAAUUCACCCUUCCAACAGCGAAAUGGCCUCCCCCAACCCCUUCCUUGCCGCGUGAGAGCCCCGACGGCACCACGGUGUGCAGCCCUCAGCGCUCCGACGGCGCCCGCCUCAACCCCUUGUGAUUAUAUAACAGUUCUCAAGAGGAAGCUGCUAACAAGCCCAUCUGAUAUUUUGUGCCAGCUGUUUCAGUGGAGGCGUGUUGGACUAGACUGAACUCCGCUUUCUUUGACAAGCAAAACAUCUGAAAAGUGACAGAACCUGAAGAAAAAGGGAAUUCAAAAUCUGGCUCUGAAUUUUCUCCUGGACCAGUCUGUUCUUCCGUAUCCACAGACAAGUAGGUUUCUGCAGGAGUAGUUUAGAAGCCCCACCAUUAACCUGUCUUUCUGCAUGGUGCAGCAACUCCUGCUAAGAUCCUGUGAGUAUUUUGUAUGCUGUUCUUCUCCCUGCAAAGUAAAAGCUGAGACAUAAAACUAGAAGAUCCUCUCUAUUGUGAACACAGCACAGGAAGGCAGUUGUGAUGGAUAGGAGCUGAGCUGUGAUCAUGCUGCGGGUAGCUCCUGCUCUGUUUUGGAGACAGUAUGUGUAUGAUUAAAGUUACAUACAGAAGAAUAUGCC
This 767-nucleotide long non-coding RNA is filed under the name Chrysolophus pictus (golden pheasant). RNAcentral's name for it is "lncRNA (ENSCPIG00010007606.1)". The record is from RNAcentral. Lineage: Eukaryota; Metazoa; Chordata; Aves; Galliformes; Phasianidae.